Saccostrea cuccullata (small rock oyster) is the source of this 148-nucleotide long non-coding RNA. RefSeq lists it as uncharacterized. The record is from RefSeq and is a predicted model, not a curated record. The transcript has 3 exons. NCBI's taxonomy places the organism in Eukaryota, Metazoa, Mollusca, Bivalvia, Ostreida, Ostreidae.
AUUACAGGUAUGCCAUGUUCCCGUCAUAAAUAUGACAUAGAAAUACCAGAUAUAAAUGAAGAAAGACUUGGUUUCAAGAAGGAACCUGGUUUGUUCGGUAUGCCAUGUUCCCGUCAUAAAUAUGACAUAGAAAUACCAGAUAUAAAUG